RNAcentral lists this ribosomal RNA (293 nucleotides) under uncultured bacterium. RNAcentral describes it as "partial 16S ribosomal RNA". It matches the Rfam family "Archaeal small subunit ribosomal RNA", at positions 455 to 747 of the family's 1478-position model. The record is from RNAcentral.
GUGCCAGCCGCCGCGGUAAUACCGGCAGCACGAGUGAUGGCCGAUUUUAUUGGGCCUAAAGCGUCCGUAGCUUGCUGUGUAAGUCCAUUGGGAAAUCCACGCGCUCAACGCGUGGGCGUCCGGUGGAAACUGCACAGCUUGGGACCGGAAGGCUCGAAGGGUACGUUCGGGGUAGGAGUGAAAUCCUAUAAUCCCGCACGGACCACCGAUGGCGAAAGCACUUCGAGAAAACGGAUCCGACAGUGAGGGACGAAAGCCAGGGUCUCCAACCGGAUUAGAUACCCGGGUAGUCC